RNAcentral lists this ribosomal RNA (256 nucleotides) under uncultured bacterium. RNAcentral describes it as "partial 16S ribosomal RNA". It matches the Rfam family "Bacterial small subunit ribosomal RNA", at positions 524 to 777 of the family's 1533-position model. The record is from RNAcentral.
UACGGGGGGAGCAAGCGUUGUUCGGAUUUACUGGGCGUAAAGGGCGCGUAGGCGGUCGUGACAAGUCACUUGUGAAAUCUCCGGGCUUAACUCGGAACGGUCAAGUGAUACUGUCGGACUAGAGUACAGAAGGGGCAACUGGAAUUCUCGGUGUAGCGGUGAAAUGCGUAGAUAUCGAGAGGAACACCUGCGGCGAAGGCGGGUUGCUGGGCAGUUGCUGACACUGAGGCGCGACAGCGUGGGGGAGCAAACAGGG